AGAGUUUGAUCAUGGCUCAGAACGAACGCUGGCGGCGUGCUUAACACCAUGCAAGUCGGAACGAGAAAGAUUUCUUCGGAAAUUGAGUAGAGUGGCCCACGGGUGAGUAACGCGUAGGUAAUCUACCCUAAUAUUUGGGAUAACAUUGGAAAACUGGUGCUAAUACCGAAUACCCUUCUUUUCUGUCGGGUUAAGGAGGAAAGGUGGCCUCUUCAUGAAAGCUACCGUAUAAGGAUGAGCCUGCGUACCAUUAGCCUAGUAGGUGGGGUAAAGGCCCACCUAGGCUACGAUGGUUAGCGGGUCUGAGAGGAUGAUCCGCCACACUGGAACUGGAACACGGACCAGACUCCUCCGGGAGGCAGCAGUGAGGAAUAUUGCGCAAUGGGGGAAACCCUGACGCAGCGACGCCGCGUGAGUGAGGAAGGUUUUCGGAUCGUAAAGCUCUGUCAGAAGGGAAGAAGUGUUAUAUAGUUAAUACCUGUAUAAUUUGACGGUACCUUCAGAGGAAGCACCGGCUAACUCCGUGCCAGCAGCCGCGGUAAUACGGAGGGUGCGAGCGUUNUUCGGAAUUACUGGGCGUAAAGGGCGCGUAGGCGGCCCGAUAAGUCAGGUGUGAAAGUCCACGGCUCAACCGUGGGAAGUGCAUUUGAAACUGUCAGGCUUGAGUAUCGGAGGGGGAAAGUGGAAUUCCCGGUGUAGAGGUGAAAUUCGUAGAGAUCGGGAGGAACACCGGUGGCGAAGGCGACUUUCUGGACGAAUACUGACGCUGAGGCGCGAAAGCGUGGGGGAGCAAACAGGAUUAGAUACCCUGGUAGUCCACGCCGUAAACGAUGUGAACUAGGGAUAGGGGGUGUUGAUCCCUCCUGUCCCGCAGCUAACGCAUUAAGUUCACCCCCUGGGGAGUACGGUCCC
RNAcentral lists this ribosomal RNA (912 nucleotides) under uncultured delta proteobacterium. RNAcentral's name for it is "bacterial SSU rRNA". It matches the Rfam family "Bacterial small subunit ribosomal RNA", at positions 8 to 889 of the family's 1533-position model. Lineage: Bacteria; Deltaproteobacteria. The record is from RNAcentral.